This 294-nucleotide ribosomal RNA is filed under the name uncultured bacterium. RNAcentral's name for it is "partial 16S ribosomal RNA". It matches the Rfam family "Bacterial small subunit ribosomal RNA", at positions 336 to 646 of the family's 1533-position model. The record is from RNAcentral.
CGCCUACGGGAGGCAGCAGUCGAGAAUCAUUCACAAUGGGGGAAACCCUGAUGCAGCGACGCCGCGUGAGUGAAGAAGUAUUUCGGUAUGUAAAGCUCUAUCAGCAGGGAAGAAGAAAGACGGUACCUGACUAAGAAGCCCCGGCUAACUACAUGCCAGCAGCCGCGGGAAUACGUAGGGGACAAGCGUUAUCCGGAUUUACUGGGUGUAAAGGGAGCGUAGACGGCGGUGCAAGUCUGAAGUGAAAGCCCAGGGCGCAACCCUGGGAAUGCUUUGGAUACAGUGGGGCUAGAG